Molecule: long non-coding RNA, 877 nt
Organism: Patella vulgata (common limpet)
Lineage: Eukaryota; Metazoa; Mollusca; Gastropoda; Patellidae
Exons: 2
Source: RefSeq, a predicted model, not a curated record
CAUAAAGUCUGUCAUUGAGUCGACUGGCGUGGUUUCGAAUCCCCGGUUGUACAUGACAAGGAGUAGGGUCGCCUGUCCAACCUCGUGGAUUUUCUCCGGGUCCUCCGGUUUCCUCCCACUGCUAAAGACCCCUACGCACAAGCGAAUUAUUGAAAUAAAAUUAAACCAUAUAUUAGUCCCGAAAUGACCUAGUUUGUGUCGAGUGGACGUUAAACCCCAUUUCUCUCUCUCUCUCUCUCUCUCUCCGCCUCUGAAGUUAUCUGAUUUGGCCCAGCUGUUACUUUGAAGUUGUGUCAUCACGACGUUCACUCUUUUAGGGGCGUGUUUGUGCAAUGACUGGCCACGCCUUGUGGCAGUUUGGAAACGAUAUAAAAGACCAAUAAGAAUUGUAUCUGAUAUUCCUGAAAUCGUAACUGAUCAAAGAAUACUAAAAAUGAAGGUUUUUGCAGUUUUAGUUCUGGCUGUUGUGGUUUACAACCAUGAAGCUGAAGCAGUCGCUUGCAAUCGAUGGACAAAGUUCUAUAGUCGAGAUCUCCCAACUGCCACAGCAGACAAUGAAGAACUUGAUUUGAUUCGACAUGAAAACCCCAGAGAUAACAUCUGUGCAGUACCAUCGCGUAUUGAGGUUAGAACUGUUGAUGGAGUUGAUUAUAGAGAUGCUGGACAAGUUGUAAAGAUUGGUCCUACUUUUGGUUUCUUAUGCCUGAAUGCAGAUCAACCUGACGGAACUUGUUUAGAUUACAAAGUACGAUUCUGUUGUCCAUAAAAUCUUCACCUGUUAUUUUCUUAUAAAAUAUGUAACACUAAUUGUUAAUGAUAUCCUAAACCAUGUAAAACAAAUCUUUAUUUCUGAAAAAUAAACUUCUGCUAACAUGUU